Molecule: ribosomal RNA, 467 nt
Filed under: uncultured bacterium
Lineage: Bacteria
Description: partial 16S ribosomal RNA
Rfam family: Bacterial small subunit ribosomal RNA
Source: RNAcentral
GACGAACGCUGGCGGCGUGCUUAACACAUGCAAGUCGAACGGAAAGGCCCUGCUUUUGUGGGGUGCUCGAGUGGCGAACGGGUGAGUAACACGUGAGUAACCUGCCCUUGACUUUGGGAUAACUUCAGGAAACUGGGGCUAAUACCGGAUAGGAGCUCCUGCUGCAUGGUGGGGGUUGGAAAGUUUCGGCGGUUGGGGAUGGACUCGCGGCUUAUCAGCUUGUUGGUGGGGUAGUGGCUUACCAAGGCUUUGACGGGUAGCCGGCCUGAGAGGGUGACCGGCCAAAUUGGGACUGAGAUCCGGCCAGACUUCCUACGGAGGGAAGCAGGGGGGAUAAUUGCAAAAGGGGGGAAACCCUGAUGCGCAACCGCCGCGGGCGGGAUAAGGCCCUUCGGGUGGAAACCGGGUUUCGCUUGUGACGAGGCGUGGUGAACGGUAUUGGGUAAGAAGCACCGGCUAACUACGUG